This 253-nucleotide ribosomal RNA is filed under the name uncultured bacterium. RNAcentral describes it as "partial 16S ribosomal RNA". It matches the Rfam family "Bacterial small subunit ribosomal RNA", at positions 524 to 776 of the family's 1533-position model. The record is from RNAcentral.
UACGAAGGGGGCUAGCGUUGCUCGGAAUGACUGGGCGUAAAGAGCGCGUAGGCGGAUGACACAGUCAGAUGUGAAAUUCCCGGGCUUAACCUGGGGGCUGCAUUUGAUACGUGUUGUCUAGAGUGAGGAAGAGGGUUGUGGAAUUCCCAGUGUAGAGGUGAAAUUCGUAGAUAUUGGGAAGAACACCGGUGGCGAAGGCGGCAACCUGGUCCUUGACUGACGCUGAGGCGCGAAAGCGUGGGGAGCAAACAGG